UAAGCUUCUAAAGUUAAGGCCUUCUGCCCC
RNAcentral lists this non-coding RNA (30 nucleotides) under Mus musculus (house mouse). Lineage: Eukaryota; Metazoa; Chordata; Mammalia; Rodentia; Muridae. The record is from RNAcentral.